This 78-nucleotide transfer RNA is filed under the name Gammaproteobacteria bacterium HGW-Gammaproteobacteria-1. RNAcentral's name for it is "tRNA-Arg". Lineage: Bacteria; Pseudomonadati; Pseudomonadota; Gammaproteobacteria. The record is from RNAcentral.
GCCCGCGUAGCUCAAUUGGACAGAGCGGCCGAAUCCUAGUCGGCGGGUUGUCAGUUCAAGUCUGACCGCCGGGCGCCA